AUGUGCUGGCUAUUGACUGCUGCAGCAGCGUAAGGGUUAGUAAGAAUGACUGCCAGUGAAAGGGAAGAAUUCGUGUACAGGAUUAGUACGGCUGAGGAAUGGGAAGCAUUGCAAAAGAAUGAAUCUGUUUUUGGCGGAGACCUUGACAAGUCCUCUGGUUUCAUUCACCUCAGCUCGCUUCAUCAGGUAAAGCCGACAUUGCAGAAUUUUUUCUCUAACGUCAAGGUGGAUUUGUACCUUCUUCAGAUUGAUGCUAAGAAGCGCUGCAGCAAGAAAUCAAGGCAGAAAAAUGGGAGAAACAAAGAGUUUCUCGCUGCAGCGAAGAAGAAGAAAAAAAAACCCCGAGAGUUUCUCGCUGCAACGAGUUGUUCAGCUGUCUCCAAUAUAAAACCCACGUCUUCCCCUCUCAUUUCCAUUUUCUCAAAUCUCUAACCCUAACCCCACUCUCCCUCAAAAAUCCUCUCUCAUAAAAUCAAAUUUCUCUCAUACUUAUUGGCAAAACUUUCAAAAAUCAUCAAAAUUCUUGCCAACAAAUCAAGAUUUGAGGAUUUUAGGGAACAGCUUUCCAUUAAAGUGCAGAUUUGCUUGGAGAUGGAUUGAUAUAUGAGGUUGUAGAUGGUUCCAACUGCUUCCCACACUUCUAUGGCCCAUCUCGAAGCUUCGCUCCUCUUCCGUUAGAUGCAGUUACAAAAGCUGAGAAGCUAUCUGUAUCAGAUGGCC
Molecule: RNA transcript, 720 nt
Organism: Theobroma umbraticum
Lineage: Eukaryota; Viridiplantae; Streptophyta; Magnoliopsida; Malvales; Malvaceae
Gene name: dihydroorotate dehydrogenase
Source: RefSeq, a predicted model, not a curated record